RNAcentral lists this ribosomal RNA (484 nucleotides) under uncultured bacterium. RNAcentral's name for it is "partial 16S ribosomal RNA". It matches the Rfam family "Bacterial small subunit ribosomal RNA", at positions 30 to 507 of the family's 1533-position model. The record is from RNAcentral.
AUUGAACGCUGGCGGCAGGCCUAACACAUGCAAGUCGAGCGGAUGAAGGGAGCUUGCUCCUGGAUUCAGCGGCGGACGGGUGAGUAAUGCCUAGGAAUCUGCCUGGUAGUGGGGGAUAACGUCCGGAAACGGGCGCUAAUACCGCAUACGUCCUGAGGGAGAAAGUGGGGGAUCUUCGGACCUCACGCUAUCAGAUGAGCCUAGGUCGGAUUAGCUAGUUGGUGGGGUAAAGGCCUACCAAGGCGACGAUCCGUAACUGGUCUGAGAGGAUGAUCAGUCACACUGGAACUGAGACACGGUCCAGACUCCUACGGGAGGCAGCAGUGGGGAAUAUUGGACAAUGGGCGAAAGCCUGAUCCAGCCAUGCCGCGUGUGUGAAGAAGGUCUUCGGAUUGUAAAGCACUUUAAGUUGGGAGGAAGGGCAGUGAGUUAAUACCUUGCUGUUUUGACGUUACCAACAGAAUAAGCACCGGCUAACUUCGUG